This 30-nucleotide non-coding RNA is filed under the name Mus musculus (house mouse). The record is from RNAcentral. Lineage: Eukaryota; Metazoa; Chordata; Mammalia; Rodentia; Muridae.
UCGUCCCUUUUAAGGAGAAUUAUCCUCUGC